AAAGUGCCCUGGCCUCGUGCCGGUGGACUACACCUCUACCCUCCUCACGGGGGGCAAUGUGUUAACCAAUUGUGAAACUUAUACCUUUGCUUCGGCAGCGCUCUCAGCCUUUAAACCGCUGGAGAGGUAAGGCUGCCAGAAGCCCACUUUAAAACUAGUUGAUGAAAUGUCAUGCUGUCUGAUAACCAUUAUUUUGAGAAAUCAAAAGAAUUCUAUUA
RNAcentral lists this unclassified non-coding RNA (218 nucleotides) under uncultured Orbiliales. RNAcentral describes it as "sequence contains ITS1". The record is from RNAcentral. Lineage: Eukaryota; Fungi; Ascomycota; Orbiliomycetes; Orbiliales.